AGUGGCUCAUUCACCUUCUUAUGUCAGCCCCUUAGGGACGCGCUACAUAAACUUCGAAUGACGCACAACAAGGUGCCUGCCGUCCAACUUCUGAUAACAGCGUAGCUUUAUCAACCUCCGGGCGAAACGUCGAGUUAGGCACCGCCUUAUUCCAUAACAAAGCCGGGUUUAGCCCGGCUUUGUU
RNAcentral lists this small RNA (184 nucleotides) under Salmonella enterica subsp. enterica serovar Typhimurium str. SL1344. RNAcentral describes it as "GlmY". The stretch from base 1 to 148 matches the Rfam family "Glm Y RNA activator of glmS mRNA". From Rfam's summary of the family: This family consists of a number of bacterial RNA genes of around 167 bases in length. The function of this RNA is unknown. The record is from RNAcentral. Lineage: Bacteria; Pseudomonadati; Pseudomonadota; Gammaproteobacteria; Enterobacterales; Enterobacteriaceae.